Meriones unguiculatus (Mongolian gerbil) is the source of this 5753-nucleotide RNA transcript. It is a transcript of the gene named solute carrier family 4 member 10, with no coding region annotated. The record is from RefSeq and is a predicted model, not a curated record. Lineage: Eukaryota; Metazoa; Chordata; Mammalia; Rodentia; Muridae. The transcript has 28 exons.
AGUUAGCAUCUCAGGCAAGAUUCUUAAUGUCCUUUGGACUCGCAGCACUGUAGGCUCUACUUUAUCCAGAAUCCACGUGUGGGCAGUGAUUCAGGGCUUCAGGAUCUCUCUCACCGGCCCAAGGAUCCAAGGCAGUCAGUGCAAAACCUGGCCAGCAGCCCGAGUGAGUAGGAGCCAUGUGACUCUGGUGAGUUGGAGUGUGCAGUUGCCUCCUGCUUCAGAGCUACCUGAUCCGAAUACUAAGCAGAGCGAGUGCCGGGCUGAGUGGAGACACCGAAGACACUGCAGAGAAAGGUGCUUUUUCCAGAGGUGUCACAGGACAUGGAGAUUAAAGACCAGGGGGCCCAAAUGGAGCCGCUGCUGCCAACGAGAAAUGAUGAAGAAGCAGUUGUGGAUAGAGGUGGAACACGUUCUAUUCUCAAAACACAUUUUGAGAAAGAAGAUUUAGAAGGUCAUCGAACAUUAUUUAUUGGAGUUCAUGUGCCCCUGGGUGGAAGAAAGAGCCAUCGUCGCCACAGACAUCGUGGUCAUAAGCACAGAAAAAGGGACAGAGAGAGAGAUUCUGGACUAGAGGAUGGAAGAGAGUCACCUUCUUUUGAUACCCCAUCACAGCGGGUGCAGUUUAUUCUUGGAACUGAGGAUGAUGACGAGGAGCACAUUCCUCAUGACCUUUUCACAGAACUGGAUGAAAUUUGCUGGCGUGAAGGGGAAGAUGCAGAGUGGCGAGAAACAGCUAGGUGGUUGAAGUUUGAAGAAGACGUGGAAGAUGGAGGAGAAAGAUGGAGCAAGCCCUAUGUGGCCACACUUUCAUUGCACAGCUUGUUUGAGUUGAGAAGCUGUGUUCUGAAUGGAACUGUGCUGCUGGACAUGCGUGCCAAUACUUUAGAAGAAAUUGCAAAUAUGGUCCUUGACCAGCAGGUCAGCUCAGGGCAGCUGAAUGAAGAUGUACGUCACAGGGUUCACGAAGCAUUGAUGAAGCAGCAUCAUCACCAGAAUCAGAAAAAACUCACUAACAGGAUACCCAUUGUCCGAUCUUUUGCUGAUAUUGGCAAGAAACAGUCAGAACCAAAUUCCAUGGAUAAAAAUGCAGGUCAGGUUGUUUCUCCUCAAUCUGCUCCAGCCUGUGCUGAGAAUAAAAAUGAUGUUAGCAGGGAAAACAGCACUGUUGACUUUAGCAAGGGACUGGGAGGCCAACAAAAGGGGCAUAAUAGUCCAUGUGGGAUGAAACAAAGGCAUGAAAAAGGACCUCCACACCAGCAAGAGAGAGAGGUGGAUCUGCAUUUUAUGAAAAAGAUUCCGCCGGGUGCUGAGGCUUCAAAUAUCUUGGUAGGAGAAUUGGAGUUCCUGGACAGAACUGUAGUUGCCUUUGUCAGGCUGUCUCCAGCUGUCUUGCUCCAAGGACUGGCUGAAGUUCCAAUCCCAAGCAGAUUUCUGUUCAUUCUUCUGGGACCCCUGGGAAAGGGUCAGCAGUACCAUGAGAUUGGCAGAUCGAUUGCAACCUUAAUGACUGAUGAGGUAUUUCAUGAUGUUGCUUACAAAGCUAAAGACCGUAAUGACUUGGUGUCAGGAAUUGAUGAGUUUCUGGAUCAGGUUACAGUCCUCCCUCCCGGAGAAUGGGACCCAAGCAUCCGAAUAGAACCUCCCAAAAACGUCCCUUCCCAGGAAAAGAGGAAGAUUCCUGCUGUACCAAAUGGAACAGCAGCUCAUGGCGAAGCUGAGCCACACGGGGGACAUAGUGGACCUGAACUCCAGCGAACUGGAAGGAUCUUUGGGGGACUUAUAUUAGAUAUCAAAAGAAAAGCUCCAUUCUUCUGGAGUGACUUCAGAGAUGCUUUCAGCCUGCAAUGCUUAGCCUCUUUCCUGUUUCUCUACUGUGCGUGUAUGUCUCCUGUCAUCACAUUCGGAGGACUGUUGGGAGAAGCCACUGAAGGUCGAAUAAGUGCAAUCGAAUCACUCUUUGGAGCGUCUAUGACUGGGAUAGCUUACUCUCUUUUUGGUGGACAACCCCUUACCAUAUUAGGCAGUACAGGACCUGUUCUGGUCUUUGAAAAGAUUUUGUUUAAAUUUUGCAAAGAAUAUGGGCUGUCCUACUUGUCUUUAAGAGCCAGCAUCGGGCUUUGGACUGCAACCCUAUGCAUCAUACUUGUGGCCACCGAUGCGAGUUCCCUUGUCUGCUAUAUCACCCGGUUUACUGAAGAAGCCUUUGCAUCUCUCAUCUGCAUCAUUUUUAUCUAUGAAGCCCUGGAGAAGUUGUUUGAGCUCAGUGAAGCCUAUCCAAUCAAUAUGCACAACGAUUUGGAACUGCUGACGCAGUACUCAUGUAACUGUAUGGAGCCACAUAGUCCCAGCAAUGAUACACUGAAGGAAUGGAGGGAGUCCAAUAUUUCUGCCUCUGACAUAAUUUGGGGGAACCUAACUGUGUCAGAGUGCAGAUCACUGCACGGGGAGUAUGUCGGGCGAGCCUGUGGCCAUGGCCACCCCUACGUGCCCGAUGUCCUCUUCUGGUCGGUGAUCCUGUUCUUCUCCACCGUUACUAUGUCAGCCACCCUGAAGCAGUUCAAGACCAGCCGUUAUUUCCCAACCAAGGUUCGAUCCAUAGUGAGUGAUUUUGCAGUUUUUCUUACAAUUCUGUGUAUGGUUUUAAUUGACUAUGCCAUUGGGAUCCCAUCACCGAAACUACAAGUACCAAGUGUUUUCAAGCCUACCAGAGAUGACCGUGGAUGGUUUGUUACGCCUUUAGGGCCAAACCCGUGGUGGACAAUUAUAGCUGCUAUUAUCCCAGCUUUGCUUUGUACUAUCCUAAUUUUCAUGGACCAACAGAUCACAGCUGUCAUAAUCAACAGAAAAGAGCAUAAGCUAAAGAAAGGCUGUGGCUAUCACCUGGAUCUGCUAAUGGUGGCUGUCAUGCUCGGGGUGUGCUCCAUUAUGGGGCUGCCGUGGUUUGUGGCCGCCACAGUCCUCUCUAUCACUCAUGUCAACAGCCUGAAGCUGGAAUCAGAGUGCUCUGCUCCAGGAGAACAGCCCAAGUUUCUCGGCAUUAGAGAGCAGAGGGUGACUGGCCUCAUGAUUUUUAUUCUUAUGGGUUCAUCAGUUUUUAUGACCAGUAUUCUGAAGUUUAUCCCCAUGCCAGUGUUAUAUGGAGUAUUUCUUUAUAUGGGUGCUUCAUCUCUAAAGGGAAUUCAGUUAUUUGAUAGAAUAAAACUCUUCUGGAUGCCGGCCAAACAUCAACCAGAUUUCAUCUACCUGAGGCAUGUGCCUCUCCGGAAAGUCCAUCUCUUCACAGUCAUUCAGAUGAGUUGUCUUGGCCUUUUGUGGAUAAUCAAAGUUUCAAGAGCUGCUAUCGUCUUUCCUAUGAUGGUGUUGGCCCUGGUAUUUGUGAGAAAAUUGAUGGACUUCUUGUUUACCAAACGGGAACUCAGCUGGCUCGAUGACCUGAUGCCAGAGAGUAAGAAGAAGAAACUUGAGGAUGCUGAAAAAGAAGAGGAACAAAGUAUGCUGGCCAUGGAAGAUGAGGGCACAGUACAACUCCCACUAGAGGGACACUACCGAGAUGACCCAUCUGUGAUCAAUAUUUCUGAUGAAAUGUCAAAAACUGCCAUGUGGGGGAAUCUUCUGAUUACUGCGGACAACUCAAAAGAAAAGGAGUCACGCUUUCCUUCUAAAAGCUCCCCUUCCUAAUCACUCUAGAAGCUGAUUCCCCAAAGGGGGAAGCUUCUCUGAAGAUGGCUGAACAAGACACUGAUCUAUCAGUAUAGUACCCUGAAAGCCGAAAAGAGAAGAAAGCUGACUCAGGGAAAGGCGUUGACAGGGAGACUUGUCUGUGACUUGAUCUUCAACUUAUUUUUACCUAUGAGAAGAGUGUCACAGUUAUUAAUAAAACUGCUUUGAUCAUGUACUGUAAAUCCUCUCCCAUCCCAAAUCUACCUUCAUUCUGGAAGUAGUACAACCGCUGUUUCACUUCUGUGUUUAAUCUCUGAGCAGUGCGACACCCUUGUGAGCAGGUCCAAUGGCUAGGGCAAGACUCUCCCGUGUUCCUGCUGUAAGACAUCUGCCAACACAGGAUUCUUGUUGUCAGCAUUCCGAGAGCAAAGCGUUCUUUAAAAAAAAAUAAGUCAUAUUUGCCUAGUUUGUGUUUUCCUACCUUAGUAACCUGAAGAUGCCUGAUAAUUUUAUUCAGAAGAAUUUUGAAAGGUAGUCUUACUUUUUAUUUUUUAUAGCAUAGAAUUAGUGUCUUGUCUAGAAAGGCCCAAGUCAAAGAGUUACUCUGAAAGCAUUUUUAAUAAUUGUAUUUAUGUAUUUCCUUGACUCAAUAUCAUACAUUUAAUACUUAAUAUCUAACUAAUACUUCGAGUCAUUUCAGAAAGAGACCUGUUUAUACCUUCUUAAAAGACGUACUCUAAAGAGUCAAGUAGUGUUUGCUUAGAAUUCAAGUUGUAACCACACAGUCAAGUACUAGACUUAUACGAAAUGCUUCAGAGAUAUUUGAAGAGUUUUGUGGGGUUUUUCAUUUCAAAUUUUUACCAGAGAUGUGCUAUUGAACUUCUCUCCCAUUGACAACAGUUACUUCUCAAAUACACCUGUGACAUACAUACGGAAUGCCACGUGGUGAAUCAUUGUAUGUGAAAUGCCAUCCCUGUACAGCUGUUCUGCCGAUAAUGGUCACGUGCUGUUUCGUUUGGGUCCCUGUCAGGUUAUCAUGUUAGACCAACAGGUCUCCAAAUGUAACUGUUCUUUUGCAAAGCUCCUUUCCACAUUUUAACUAAGUGCAUGUUGUGGAAACACAGUCUUUGAACUAAAAUUUCAGAUUUUGUUAGAGAAGGUUAUGUAAAUAUUUCAGUCCAUACGCAACAGCCCAACUUUAUUCAGCUUAUUGAAAUGGGAAGGAAGUUGUGGAUUUAUGAGUACUACUAAGUAUAAAUUUCAUUUAACUUCAGAUAAAUGUGAGAUAGUAAAAAUAAAAUCUCAUAGGGCUCUUAAUUCCUAACAAUUAUCAAUGAUUGACAACCUUAUAACCUUUCAUUGUCCAAAUUUAGAAAAAUUCAGAGCCUUGUGGCUUUUAUAAACUAUGUGUACUUUAUGUAAAUGCAUAUAAUUGGAAAAUCCUCUUUGUUAUUAAGCUAAUGAGGAUGAAAACAACAAAGCCUACAUUAACACUUAAUAUUUUGAUAUCUUUUGAACAAAAAAAUUCCUUACAAUCCUUUAAGGAGUCAUUUUUUUAAUGAGACAUGAGCCAAAAUUAUGAGAAAAAUUUUCAGUUAGUAAAGUUUGUAUUUAUAAAUGGUGAAGAAAAAUGCAAAACUGUUCCAAAUGUGCUACCUUUGUGUAUGUUGUAAUACUGACACUCCAUCUAAAACAUCCUCACUGUCUAUGACUUAGCAGGUCAAGCCCCAAAGAAGUCUCCCAGUGUCUCCAUAGAGUAAUACCUGUUCUGUUAAAAAAUGACCAGUGAAUUACACUUCACAUGAUCACUGGUGUAAACAAUCAUCCUAUGAAAUUCUGUAUUUCUGAGUAUUUUUAUAGUAAUUUGUUCUUGUGUGAAUUUUAAUGCUAUCUCUAUCUUAAUAUUUUGAAAUCAUAUAAAAUAUAUGAAAAUGUAGUAUAUAUUUACUCCUAAUUUCAGAUUCCUGGUCAAAUUACUGAAUAUCUUGAAUGUAAUUUAUUGCAAUGUUUAAGUAAUAUGUAAAUGUGACUAGGAUAUUGUGUUUUUCAAAACUAAGAAAUGUUAUGUGGAAAUAAAUAUUUAUCCUAACUAA